AACGGCGGCCGUAACUAUAACGGUCCUAAGGUAGCGAAAUUCCUUGUCGGGUAAGUUCCGACCUGCACGAAUGGCGUAAUGAUGGCCAGGCUGUCUCCACCCGAGACUCAGUGAAAUUGAACUCGCUGUGAAGAUGCAGUGUACCCGCGGCAAGACGGAAAGACCCCGUGAACCUUUACUAUAGCUUGACACUGAACAUUGAGCCUUGAUGUGUAGGAUAGGUGGGAGGCUUUGAAGUGUGGACGCCAGUCUGCAUGGAGCCGGCCUUGAAAUACCACCCUUUAAUGUUUGAUGUUCUAACGUGGACCCGUGAUCCGGGUUGCGGACAGUGUCUGGUGGGUAGUUUGACUGGGGCGGUCUCCUCCUAAAGAGUAACGGAGGAGCACGAAGGUUGGCUAAUCCUGGUCGGACAUCAGGAGGUUAGUGCAAUGGCAUAAGCCAGCUUGACUGCGAGCGUGACGGCGCGAGCAGGUGCGAAAGCAGGUCAUAGUGAUCCGGUGGUUCUGAAUGGAAGGGCCAUCGCUCAACGGAUAAAAGGUACUCCGGGGAUAACAGGCUGAUACCGCCCAAGAGUUCAUAUCGACGGCGGUGUUUGGCACCUCGAUGUCGGCUCAUCACAUCCUGGGGCUGAAGUAGGUCCCAAGGGUAUGGCUGUUCGCCAUUUAAAGUGGUACGCGAGCUGGGUUUAGAACGUCGUGAGACAGUUCGGUCCCUAUCUGCCGUGGGCGCUGGAGAACUGAGGGGGGCUGCUCCUAGUACGAGAGGACCGGAGUGGACGCAUCACUGGUGUUCGGGUUGUCAUGCCAAUGGCACUGCCCGGUAGCUAAAUGCGGAAGAGAUAAGUGCUGAAAGCAUCUAAGCACGAAACUUGCCCCGAGAUGAGUUCUCCCUGACCCUUUAAGGGUCCUGAAGGAACGUUGAAGACGACGACGUUGAUAGGCCGGGUGUGUAAGCGCAGCGAUGCGUUGAGCUAACCGGUACUAAUGAACCGUGAGGCUUAACCUU
RNAcentral lists this ribosomal RNA (1005 nucleotides) under Shigella sonnei. RNAcentral describes it as "partial 23S ribosomal RNA". It matches the Rfam family "Bacterial large subunit ribosomal RNA", at positions 1926 to 2925 of the family's 2925-position model. Lineage: Bacteria; Pseudomonadati; Pseudomonadota; Gammaproteobacteria; Enterobacterales; Enterobacteriaceae. The record is from RNAcentral.